GCUUGCUUCUUCUGAUUUAGCGGCGGACGGGUGAGUAACACGUGGGCAACCUGCCCUGUAGAUUGGGAUAACUCCGGGAAACCGGGGCUAAUACCGAAUAAUCCAUUUCUUCACAUGAAGAGAUGUUAAAAGACGGUUUCGGCUGUCACUACAGGAUGGGCCCGCGGCGCAUUAGCUAGUUGGUGGGGUAAUGGCUCACCAAGGCGACGAUGCGUAGCCGACCUGAGAGGGUGAUCGGCCACACUGGGACUGAGACACGGCCCAGACUCCUACGGGAGGCAGCAGUAGGGAAUCUUCCACAAUGGACGAAAGUCUGAUGGAGCAAUGCCGCGUGAGUGAAGAAGGUUUUCGGAUCGUAAAACUCUGUUGUGAGGGAAGAACAAGUACGAGAGUAACUGCUCGUACCUUGACGGUACCUCAUUAGAAAGCCACGGCUAACUACGUGCCAGCAGCCGCGGUAAUACGUAGGUGGCAAGCGUUGUCCGGAAUUAUUGGGCGUAAAGCGCGCGCAGGCGGUCCUUUAAGUCUGAUGUGAAAGCCCACGGCUCAACCGUGGAAGGUCAUUGGAAAC
Molecule: ribosomal RNA, 571 nt
Filed under: uncultured Bacillus sp.
Lineage: Bacteria; Bacillati; Bacillota; Bacilli; Caryophanales; Bacillaceae
Description: bacterial SSU rRNA
Rfam family: Bacterial small subunit ribosomal RNA
Source: RNAcentral